GACGAACGCUGGCGGCAUGCCUAACACAUGCAAGUCGAACGUGAGGAGGUAGCAAUAUCUCUGAAAGUGGCGCACGGGUGAGUAAUACGUAGGUGACCUGCCCUGGAGUGGGGGAUAACAGCUAGAAAUGGCUGCUAAUACCGCAUAUUGCCGAGACAUUGGGAAAUGACUUGGUAAAAACUCUGGUGCUUCAGGAGGGGCCUGCGGCCGAUUAGCUAGUUGGCGGGGUAAGAGCCCACCAAGGCAGUGAUCGGUAGCUGGUCUGAGAGGACGAUCAGCCACACGGGAACUGAGACACGGUCCCGACUCCUACGGGGGGCAGCAGUGAGGAAUAUUGGGCAAUGGGCGGAAGCCUGACCCAGCAACGCCGCGUGGAGGGAAGACGGGCCUUCGGGUUGUAAACUCUUUACGGGGUAAGAGGAGGACGGUACCCGACGAAUAAGUACACGGCUAACUACGUGCCAGCAG
RNAcentral lists this ribosomal RNA (468 nucleotides) under uncultured bacterium. RNAcentral describes it as "bacterial SSU rRNA". It matches the Rfam family "Bacterial small subunit ribosomal RNA", at positions 28 to 514 of the family's 1533-position model. The record is from RNAcentral.